RNAcentral lists this ribosomal RNA (952 nucleotides) under Bipes tridactylus. RNAcentral describes it as "small subunit ribosomal RNA". It matches the Rfam family "Bacterial small subunit ribosomal RNA". Lineage: Eukaryota; Metazoa; Chordata; Lepidosauria; Squamata; Bipedidae. The record is from RNAcentral.
CAAGGCCUUGGUCCUGAGCCUUACAUUCCCUGCUUGGUAGGCACAUACAUGCAAGUCUCCGCCCUCCUGUGAGUGAGCCAUCGCACCACCUAAACAGCUGCGCUGAGCCGGUAUCAGGCACGCCAGUUGCAGCUGCCCAUGACACCCAGCCAACCGCCACAUCCCCACGGACUACAGCAGUAAUAAACAUUGAGCAAUAAAUGAAAAUUUGACUCAGCAAUACUAUAAACUAAGCCGGCUAAUUUCGUGCCAGCCGCCGCGGUUACACGAAAAGGCUACAGAUAAUGUAAUCCGGCGUAAAUAGUGACUAGAUAACACCACUAAGACAAAGAGGAAGGCCAUACUGGGCAGUGAAAUGCACCGGCUACGCAAACAACAAACUCUUUGCCAAGGUUAAUACAUUGACCACACGAAAACCGGGGCACAAACUAGGAUUAGAUACCCUACUAUGCCAGGUCGUAAACAUUGACACUAACCAAAACAAAGUGUCCGCCAGAGAACUACAAGCGAAAAGCUUAAAACUCAAAGGACUUGGCGGUGCCCCACCCAACCUAGAGGAGCCUGUCCAAUAACCCGAUGCCACCCGAUAUACCCAACCGCCUAUUGCACAAACAGCCUAUAUACCGCCGUCUCCAGCCCACCCUAUGAAGGCCAACCAGUGGACAAAAUCGUCACACCACAAACACGACAGGUCGAGGUGUAGCUAACGAGGCGGAAAAGAUGGGCUACAUUCUCCACCAAGGAGCACACGGAUAACAAAAUGAAACUUUUGUUCGAAGGAGGAUUUAGAAGUAAAAUAAUAAAGACUGCUUAUUUUAAUACUGCUCUGGGGCACGUACACACCGCCCGUCACCCUCUUCGACAGGCACAGACCAAUAAAUAAAACAAGAUAGCACCAAAGAAGAGACAAGUCGUAACAUGGUAAGUGUACUGGAAAGUGCACUUGGCUCAA